CCUACGGGCGGCAGCAGUGAGGAAUAUUGGACAAUGGGCGCUAGCCUGAACCAGCAAAGCAGCGUGAAGGAUGACUGCCCUAUGGGCUGUAAACUUCUUUUAUAUGGGAAUAAAGUGCAGUAUGUAUACUGCUUUGCAUGUACCUUAUGAAUAAGGAUCGGCUAACUCCGUGCCAGCAGCCGCGGUAAUACGGAGGAUGCGAGCGUUAUCCGGAUUUAUUGGGUUUAAAGGGAGCGUAGGCGGGUUGUUAAGUCAGUUGUGAAAGUUUGCGGCUCAACCGUAAAAUUGCAGUUGAUACUGGCAGCCUUGAGUACAGUAGAGGUAGGCGGAAUUCGUGGUGUAGCGGUGAAAUGCUUAGAUAUCACGAAGAACUCCGAUUGCGAAGGCAGCCUGCUGGACUGUAACUGACGCUGAUGCUCGAAAGUGUGGGUAUCAAACAGGAUUAGAUACCCCUGUAGUC
RNAcentral lists this ribosomal RNA (460 nucleotides) under uncultured bacterium. RNAcentral describes it as "partial 16S ribosomal RNA". It matches the Rfam family "Bacterial small subunit ribosomal RNA", at positions 338 to 795 of the family's 1533-position model. The record is from RNAcentral.